UACGUAGGGGGCAAGCGUUGUCCGGAUUCAUUGGGCGUAAAGAGCGUGUAGGCGGCCAGGCAGGUCCGCUGUGAAAACUCGAGGCUCAACCUCGAGAUGUCGGUGGAAACCGUCUGGCUAGAGUCCGGAAGAGGAGAGUGGAAUUCCCGGUGUAGCGGUGAAAUGCGUAGAGAUCGGGAGGAACACCAGAGGCGAAGGCGGCUCGCUGGACAGUUACUGACACUCAACUACGAAAGCGUGGGGAGCAAACAGG
RNAcentral lists this ribosomal RNA (253 nucleotides) under uncultured bacterium. RNAcentral describes it as "partial 16S ribosomal RNA". It matches the Rfam family "Bacterial small subunit ribosomal RNA", at positions 524 to 776 of the family's 1533-position model. The record is from RNAcentral.